ACUCCUACGGGAGGCAGCAGUGGGAAUAUUGCACAAUGGGCGCAAGCCUGAUGCAGCCAUGCCGCGUGUGUGAAGAAGGCCUUCGGGUUGUAAAGCACUUUCAGUCAGUGAGGAAUGUAGUGUAGUUUGAAUAGCUGCAUUAUUUGACGUUUAGCGAACAGAAGAAGCACCGGCUAACUCCGUGCCAGCAGCCGCGGUAAUACGGAGGGUGCGAGCGUUAAUCGGAAUUACUGGGCGUAAAGCGU
RNAcentral lists this ribosomal RNA (245 nucleotides) under uncultured bacterium. RNAcentral describes it as "partial 16S ribosomal RNA". It matches the Rfam family "Bacterial small subunit ribosomal RNA", at positions 335 to 568 of the family's 1533-position model. The record is from RNAcentral.